UGGAGAGUUUGAUCCUGGCUCAGGAUGAACGCUAGCGGCAGGCCUAAUACAUGCAAGUCGGACGGGAUCCGGGAGUAGCUUGCUACUUCCGGUGAGAGUGGCGCACGGGUGCGUAACGCGUGAGCAACCUGCCCAUAUCAGGGGGAUAGCCCGGAGAAAUCCGGAUUAACACCGCAUGACACGCCGGGACGGCAUCGUUCCGGCGUCAAAUAUUCAUAGGAUAUGGAUGGGCUCGCGUGACAUUAGCUAGUUGGUGGGGUAACGGCCCACCAAGGCGACGAUGUCUAGGGGCUCUGAGAGGAGAAUCCCCCACACUGGUACUGAGACACGGACCAGACUCCUACGGGAGGCAGCAGUAAGGAAUAUUGGUCAAUGGGGGCAACCCUGAACCAGCCAUGCCGCGUGCAGGACGACUGCCCUAUGGGUUGUAAACUGCUUUUGCCGGGGAAUAAACCCCACUACGUGUAGUGGGCUGAACGUACCCGGAGAAUAAGGAUCGGCU
Molecule: ribosomal RNA, 502 nt
Filed under: Escherichia coli
Lineage: Bacteria; Pseudomonadati; Pseudomonadota; Gammaproteobacteria; Enterobacterales; Enterobacteriaceae
Description: bacterial SSU rRNA
Rfam family: Bacterial small subunit ribosomal RNA
Source: RNAcentral